UGGUGGAGUGAUUUGUCUGGUUAAUUCCGUUAACGAACGAGACCUCAGCCUACUAAAUAGGUGCACGAACAUUUUUGUUCGCGUCACCUUCUUAGAGGGACAUUCGGUUUCUAGCCGAAGGAAGUGUGAGGCAAUAACA
RNAcentral lists this ribosomal RNA (139 nucleotides) under uncultured eukaryote. RNAcentral describes it as "partial 18S ribosomal RNA". It matches the Rfam family "Eukaryotic small subunit ribosomal RNA", at positions 1299 to 1458 of the family's 1831-position model. The record is from RNAcentral.